Molecule: ribosomal RNA, 253 nt
Filed under: uncultured bacterium
Lineage: Bacteria
Description: partial 16S ribosomal RNA
Rfam family: Bacterial small subunit ribosomal RNA
Source: RNAcentral
UACGUAGGGGGCAAGCGUUACCCGGAUUCAUUGGGCGUAAAGGGUGCGUAGGCGGCGCGGUAAGUCGGGUGUGAAAUCUCGGAGCUUAACUCCGAAACUGCAUUCGAUACUGCCGUGCUUGAGGACUGGAGAGGAGACUGGAAUUUACGGUGUAGCGGUGAAAUGCGUAGAUAUCGUAAGGAAGACCAGUGGCGAAGGCGGGUCUCUGGACAGUUCCUGACGCUGAGGCACGAAGGUCAGGGGAGCAAACGGG